GAGAUGAUGAUUGUCGGUUCGGCCGGAUCGGUGACAGGUGCUGCAUGGCUGUCGUCAGCUCGUGUCGUGAGAUGUUGGGUUAAGUCCCGCAACGAGCGCAACCCUCGCCCUUAGUUGCCAUCAUUAAGUUGGGCACUCUAAGGGGACUGCCGGUGAUAAGCCGAGAGGAAGGUGGGGAUGACGUCAAGUCCUCAUGGCCCUUACGGGCUGGGCUACACACGUGCUACAAUAGUGGUGACAGUGGGCAGCGAGACCGCGAGGUCGAGCUAAUCUCCAAAAGCCAUCUCAGUUCGGAUUGCACUCUGCAACUCGAGUGCAUGAAGUUGGAAUCGCUAGUAAUCGUGGAUCAGCAUGCCACGGUGAAUACGUUCCCGGGCCUUGUACACACCGCCCGUCACACCAU
This 403-nucleotide ribosomal RNA is filed under the name uncultured Hyphomicrobiales bacterium. RNAcentral describes it as "bacterial SSU rRNA". It matches the Rfam family "Bacterial small subunit ribosomal RNA", at positions 1003 to 1405 of the family's 1533-position model. Lineage: Bacteria; Pseudomonadati; Pseudomonadota; Alphaproteobacteria; Hyphomicrobiales. The record is from RNAcentral.